AUGCACUGCCGGUUCCCGCACAUGAACUCCCGCUCGUCGCACGUGUUGUUGUACACUGCAACGAGGCGCCGCCGUCAGCCCAGGGCUCUCCCGCCGGCCCCCCAAGCCGUCUCGGGGUGCUGGGCCCAGACGACCUCGGACGGGACGGGGGCUCCCGCUCAGGAACGGAGCCUCCCUCACGGGGCUGCACCCCAGUCUGUGGCCAGGAACAGGAACCAGGCAACCGGGUGCCUUUGGCUACUGCGCCACGAGGUGACGCUCCUGCCCUCCUCGCAGCGCAGGAAAGGCACCCAAAGGCCCCGCACCCAAGUGUGCCACGACCACAGCACUGCGCAUCCCCCCCAAGAGCCUGGCGGGGAAGCGGGCAGGAUAAGGCAGGGGCCUUCUGCUACCAGGCGGGUUCUGGCCCCACCGCAGCGGCUCCCCGCACCCCACCGCACGCAGCCCAGGAGACUCACGGCAGCCRGCAGCCAGGGUCUCGUCAGCGCCGUCCGCGCAGUCCUUGUCUCCAUCACAGAGCCAGCGCUCCGGCACGCACACGUAGGUGCCUGGGCACUGGAAGGAUCCGGCGCUGCAGGUCGUCAGCCCUGCAGCAGGGACAGGCAGGAAGGCCGGUCGCUGGAGGACCUGCAUGCUGGGGAUGCGUGGCCCCACGGCGCACACGCAGGGGGGCAGCGAGGUCCAGGCACAGAAAAGCAAGGGGGGGGGGAGGCAGGGGCAGAGGCCGGAUCUCGGGGAGGGGGCAGCAGCGCGGGCACGAACAGACAGAGGUCAGAGCAGGGGCUAGAGCGACUCACGGCAGUAGCUGUCUUCAUCAGAGCCAUCGCCGCAGUCGUCUGCCCCAUCGCACACCCAGAGCUUGGAGAUGCAGCGGUGGUUGUUGCACUCGAACUGCACGGGGUAGCAGAAUUUGUCUGGGGGGAGAGGAGGAGGUUAGGGCUGGGCAGCACGGAGGAAGGAUGCCGCGGCGCGGCCAGGCUGGGCCUGUGGGCUGCAGCCCCGGGUGCCACUGCAGAUGUAGCUCGCCCAGCCCCAGCAGGGCCCGUGUACAGUGCGGACAGGCACUUCAGGAGCAGGACUGAUGGAGGUUCCCUGCUCUGGAGGGAAGCCACAGUCUGA
RNAcentral lists this long non-coding RNA (1119 nucleotides) under Apteryx haastii (Great spotted kiwi). RNAcentral's name for it is "lncRNA (ENSAHAG00000010907.1)". The record is from RNAcentral. Lineage: Eukaryota; Metazoa; Chordata; Aves; Apterygiformes; Apterygidae.